Molecule: ribosomal RNA, 705 nt
Filed under: uncultured Bacteroidales bacterium
Lineage: Bacteria; Pseudomonadati; Bacteroidota; Bacteroidia; Bacteroidales
Description: bacterial SSU rRNA
Rfam family: Bacterial small subunit ribosomal RNA
Source: RNAcentral
GAUGAACGCUAGCUACAGGCUUAACACAUGCAAGUCGAGGGGCAUCAGUUUGGUUUGCUUGCAAACCAAAGCUGGCGACCGGCGCACGGGUGAGUAACACGUAUCCAACCUGCCUCAUACUCGGGGAUAGCCUUUCGAAAGAAAGAUUAAUAUCCGAUAGCAUAUAUUUCCCGCAUGGGUUUUAUAUUAAAGAAAUUCGGUAUGAGAUGGGGAUGCGUUCCAUUAGUUUGUUGGCGGGGUAACGGCCCACCAAGACUACGAUGGAUAGGGGUUCUGAGAGGAAGGUCCCCCACAUUGGAACUGAGACACGGUCCAAACUCCUACGGGAGGCAGCAGUGAGGAAUAUUGGUCAAUGGACGCGAGUCUGAACCAGCCAAGUAGCGUGAAGGAUGACUGCCCUAUGGGUUGUAAACUUCUUUUAUAUGGGAAUAAAGUGGUCCACGUGUGGAUUUUUGUAUGUACCAUAUGAAUAAGGAUCGGCUAACUCCGUGCCAGCAGCCGCGGUAAUACGGAGGAUCCGAGCGUUAUCCGGAUUUAUUGGGUUUAAAGGGAGCGUAGGCGGAUUGUUAAGUCAGUUGUGAAAGUUUGCGGCUCAACCGUAAAAUUGCAGUUGAUACUGGCAGUCUUGAGUGCAGUAGAGGUGGGCGGAAUUCGUGGUGUAGCGGUGAAAUGCUUAGAUAUCACGAAGAACUCCGAUUGCGAAGG